This 269-nucleotide ribosomal RNA is filed under the name uncultured bacterium. Its description in RNAcentral is "partial 16S ribosomal RNA". It matches the Rfam family "Bacterial small subunit ribosomal RNA", at positions 524 to 789 of the family's 1533-position model. The record is from RNAcentral.
CACGUAGGGUGCGAGCGUUGUCCGGAAUUAUUGGGCGUAAAGAGCUCGUAGGCGGUGUGUCGCGUCGGCCGUGAAAACCUGCAGCUUAACUGUGGGCUUGCGGUCGAUACGGGCAUCGACUGGAGUUCGGCAGGGGAGACUGGAAUUCCUGGUGUAGCGGUGGAAUGCGCAGAGUAUCAGGAGGAACACCGGUGGCGAAGGCGGGUCUCUGGGCCGAUACUGACGCUGGAGGAGCGAAAGCGUGGGGAGCGAACAGGAUAGAAACCCCG